CAGAGGGUAUUUUAUGUAAAAUAUUAGUGUUGGGGAUUAAUGAAAUGGUUUAUUACCUUUCUCAUUG
RNAcentral lists this transfer RNA (67 nucleotides) under Koutabatermes spinifer. RNAcentral's name for it is "tRNA-Pro". Lineage: Eukaryota; Metazoa; Arthropoda; Insecta; Blattodea; Termitidae. The record is from RNAcentral.